Molecule: long non-coding RNA, 263 nt
Filed under: Elaeis guineensis (African oil palm)
Lineage: Eukaryota; Viridiplantae; Streptophyta; Magnoliopsida; Arecales; Arecaceae
Description: long non-coding RNA (EGUI_LNC075982)
Source: RNAcentral
CAACUGUGAAUCGAAUACUAUUUCUGUAAACCCCCUUGGAUCGCUUUGGCUGGUUUUGGGUUGUGAAAAGUGUGUGGACCAUGCGGCUUGGGCUGGGCUGGCUUCUGGGCUUUUCUUCUUAAUUUUUUUUCUUUUCUUUUGGCUUCGAGUCUUCAUUCGGGGUCCAAAUUGAGUCUGAUUUGUGCCUAAUUUUUUUCUUUAAAUUUACAAAUUAAGCUCUUUACAUUGGCAAUCCUCUUUCUUACAAAACACAAGUAAAAGCA